RNAcentral lists this ribosomal RNA (492 nucleotides) under uncultured bacterium. RNAcentral's name for it is "partial 16S ribosomal RNA". It matches the Rfam family "Bacterial small subunit ribosomal RNA", at positions 29 to 507 of the family's 1533-position model. The record is from RNAcentral.
AGUGAACGCUGGCGGUAGGCCUAACACAUGCAAGUCGAACGGCAGCACAGUAAGAGCUUGCUCUUACGGGUGGCGAGUGGCGGACGGGUGAGGAAUACAUCGGAAUCUACUUUUUCGUGGGGGAUAACGUAGGGAAACUUACGCUAAUACCGCAUACGACCUACGGGUGAAAGCAGGGGAUCUUCGGACCUUGCGCGAUUGAAUUAGCCGAUGUCGGAUUAGCUAGUUGGCGGGGUAAAGGCCCACCAAGGCGACGAUCCGUAGCUGGUCUGAGAGGAUGAUCAGCCACACUGGAACUGAGACACGGUCCAGACUCCUACGGGAGGCAGCAGUGGGGAAUAUUGGACAAUGGGCGCAAGCCUGAUCCAGCCAUACCGCGUGGGUGAAGAAGGCCUUCGGGUUGUAAAGCCCUUUUGUUGGGAAAGAAAAGAAGCAGGUUAAUACCCCGAUGUUCUGACGGUACCCAAAGAAUAAGCACCGGCUAACUUCGUG